RNAcentral lists this transfer RNA (72 nucleotides) under Sphaerodactylus townsendi. RNAcentral describes it as "tRNA-Ala". It matches the Rfam family "tRNA". From Rfam's summary of the family: Transfer RNA (tRNA) molecules are approximately 80 nucleotides in length. Their secondary structure includes four short double-helical elements and three loops (D, anti-codon, and T loops). Lineage: Eukaryota; Metazoa; Chordata; Lepidosauria; Squamata; Sphaerodactylidae. The record is from RNAcentral.
GGAGCGAUGGCUCAGUCAUGGAGCAUUUGCUUGGCAUGCAAAAGGUCCCAGGUUUAAGGCCUGGCAUCUCUA